This 506-nucleotide ribosomal RNA is filed under the name uncultured Glomus. RNAcentral's name for it is "SSU rRNA". It matches the Rfam family "Eukaryotic small subunit ribosomal RNA", at positions 569 to 1078 of the family's 1831-position model. Lineage: Eukaryota; Fungi; Glomeromycota; Glomeromycetes; Glomerales; Glomeraceae. The record is from RNAcentral.
AGCAGCCGCGGUAAUUCCAGCUCCAAUAGCGUAUAUUAAAGUUGCUGCAGUUAAAAAGCUCGUAGUUGAAUUUCGGGACCAUCAUGUCGGUCGUGCCUCGGUACGUACUGGCAUUGUUGGUUUCUCCCUUCUGACGAACCAUGAUGUCAUUUAUUUGGUGUUGUGGGAAAUCAGGACUGUUACUUUGAAAAAAUUAGAGUGUUUAAAGCAGGCUCACGCUUGAAUACAUUAGCAUGGAAUAAUGAAAUAGGACGUUUGAUUCUAUUUUGUUGGUUUCUAGGAUCGACGUAAUGAUUAAUAGGGAUAGUUGGGGGCAUUAGUAUUCAAUUGUCAGAGGUGAAAUUCUUGGAUUUAUUGAAGACUAACUACUGCGAAAGCAUUUGCCAAGGAUGUUUUCAUUAAUCAAGAACGAAAGUUAGGGGAUCGAAGACGAUCAGAUACCGUCGUAGUCUUAACCAUAAACUAUGCCGACUAGGGAUCGGAUGAUGUUAAUUUUUAAUGACUCU